This 494-nucleotide ribosomal RNA is filed under the name Baylisascaris procyonis (raccoon roundworm). Its description in RNAcentral is "partial small subunit ribosomal RNA". The record is from RNAcentral. Lineage: Eukaryota; Metazoa; Nematoda; Chromadorea; Rhabditida; Ascarididae.
UUUGUAAACUUGAACUCUAAUUGAUGUUAGUUAGGGGUUUUAUUUUUUGUCUUGUUUUUUAGGGUGAAAUCAGAAAUUUUUGUUAUUAGUGCCCCUAAUCUUUAAGAUUUGAUGAAUAAGUCAGAUUAGUACCUGAUUAAACAAAAAUUAAAAGAGCAGGAGUAAAGUUAUGUUUAAACUGUAAGAGUAUUGGCAGGUUCUUAAAUUAUCUUUGGAGGUUGAGUAGUAAUUGAGAGCCCUCAUUAACAACUUUUACUGUGGGCGCAUGUAUGAUCGUUUAUUUUAUUCUUGAGGAUUGUAAUUUUAGAUGAGCUUGUCUCUGUUAAAAUAGAUAAAUAUUUGGUUUAUGUAGAAGAUUUAAUUUGACCUACAAUAUACUAUUUUGUGGAUACUUUACUAGUAAGAAGUUGAAAAUGUAAAAGACAGUAAGUUCUUUUUUAUGUAGAUCUGAAGUUUAUUUAAGAACGGUACAAAUCAUCCAUCAAUUGCCUAUA